GUGGCGUUUGAGACGGCGGGUGGAGUGGGGUGCGCGUCGUGCGGAAAUUGUGAAUAUACUGCUCAGUCUGUGAUUGUGCGGUUGGCAAAGUGUGACAUGUCCGACAUGCUGUUUGCGUGCUCUAGGUGUUUUAGCAGACAUCCAUUUGAGGAACUUUCGCAGGGACAGCAGCUUUGUAAGGAGUGCCGCGGGAGUUUCCCCGUGGUAAAAUGCACCUACUGUCGAUCCGAGUUUCAGCAGGAAAGCAAGGGCAGCACGUCCACCAUCUGCAAGAAAUGCGAGCAGAUGGUGAAGGCGCACGGCAAGCCGACCGCCUGCGACUACUGCAACGUCAUCGCCGCCUUCAUCGGCUCGCGGUGCCAGCGCUGCGCCAACUCGGAGAAACGCUACGGUCCGCCGCAGGCCUGUGAACAGUGCAAACAAAAGUGCGCCUUCGACCGCAAAGACCCCGAGGACAAGAAAAAGGUGGAUGCGGCGUCCGGCGCGGAUCCUUCCGGCUCCUCUCCCGACCAAGUCACGGUGGACGGUAAGCUGCUCUGCUGGCUCUGCACGCUCAGCUACAAGCGCGCUCUAGCCAAAACAAAGUCCACCGACCCCGCCCGCCACACCCACGUGAAACUGGGCAAAAACCAGGAGAAACGCAAACCAAAGUACUACGUGUCGAAGCGGCCGGACCGCCCGGACGUCACCCGCCAGCCGCUGGAGGGCUCCGAGCCCAAGAAGGCGCGCAAGGACGAGCAGUCGGACCAUGUGGUGGCCAUGACGCAGCUGAGGGAGGAGAUCGCCAGCCUGCAGCGCCAGCUGCAGCUCAAAAACCAACAGAUGCUCGGAAAGGACAAGGAGAUCUGCGAGCUGAAGGCCAAGAACCUGCGCAACGAGCAGGACAUCCGACGCAAGAUGAACGAUCAGCAGAAGGCACACGAGGCCAAGGUGGAGACGCUGCAGGGCCGCAUCCGCUCGCUCAGCAAAGAGGUGGCGGCGCUCUCCAAGCGCUCCAAGGCGGGCGGCGGCUCGGCGCUGGCCUCGGCCGACAGCGCCAGCAACAGUCCGCUGGUCUGAGCGGCGCCACGCUCUCAUUAGUGACGGCACGUGACACGUGGCACGUGCAGUGUGCCGCCGGUGUGGUCACGCGGCAAUGACUGCGCCUGUUCACAGGUGGUGGCGGCGGCGGAGCACGGGCGGGCGAGCCAGGCCGAUAUAUCAGCAAAGGCACUGACGCAGUCGUCCAGCACUGUGCGACCGGGAGCGGCCUCCCAGCGAACGCCUCUCGGCUUCUGAGACACCCAGAACGCCUGAAAACCGGCUGCCGGGCGGACAGGGUGCCCCGGUCAGCCGGUCCCGACUCAGAUUGUCAGCUAAAGUCGGGCACAUUCGAACUCAGUCGGACUCGGAACUCACUCAAGAGAGGGCGAAAUGUGCGCGGUAAUGGCAGGCCACAAAUCAAGAGAUCGUCUAUUCGGCGGCCUUGUGCCGAUAUCGAUGCCCGUUUAAGUCGGUGGCCCUCCCCCCCUGGACGAGGCAGUGUACAGUCGGCACUCACUGUCCGAAGGCCGCGAACGAGUUGGCGGCGGCGCGGCAGGCCUGGAGGCAGCCCUGGAGGGUGGAGUCCCGAGCCUGCCGCCACUGGGUCGGCUCCGUGGUGCACGUCCACCCCUCGGGCACUGGUGGUGGGUAGUGCAGUUUUAUGGUACGGAAUGGCGGUCAAAAUGUCGCAAAUUAGAUACGUGCUUUUGUAGGUACUUAUGUAUGUAAUGUUUCGUGGAAUAGUUUGAGCUUUGAGAGCUUACAGCUGUGCCGUCAAUAACUGUGAUAUUUGUUUCGUGACCGUGGCAUUUUACGUGAACGUUAUUACGUAAAUUGUGAUUCUCUGUGAACGGGAUAACAAUAAACUCGUGUCAAUUCUUA
RNAcentral lists this unclassified non-coding RNA (1905 nucleotides) under Amphibalanus amphitrite. RNAcentral describes it as "protein FAM76A-like, transcript variant X4". Lineage: Eukaryota; Metazoa; Arthropoda; Thecostraca; Balanomorpha; Balanidae. The record is from RNAcentral.